UUAUUAUUUGACACGUCAUACAUUAGCAUAUAAAACAAUUUCUAGGUAUUUUCUAUCGUCUCGUUUUGUUUUUCUUAAAACUUAGUAAAAUAUUCAUCUCAUAUCCAUUGUUCAUCCAUUCCACUACCAUUUACCUUCCUUUUCCAAACCAGUUCGUAGAUUUCAAAAGAUCAGUUAAUGGUAAGUUUGAUGAAAUCCGAAAAGAAAACCAAUUUUUGAAGGUAGAUCUGAUGAAGGCGAAAAAUUCGACUACCAUGAUGAAGGUUUUUGUUGUUCUUGUUAUUGUUUAUUUAUUUUUUAGGGUUUAGGGAAAAAUCGUAAUUUGUAGUUAGUUAAUAUUGUUGUUGAAUGUUUUGAAAUGUUCUUGAAUUCUUGACAAUUUCUGGAAAAGUUGUGAGGUAAUGAAAUAUUGUCCAGAAAAUUUAAGAUUAAGUUGUUGUUGAUGUUGUUUAAUUUUAUGGGUAAGUUAUUUACCAUGACUACAAAAUUUGUAUAUUAAGUGUGUAAUCUGAUGGUGUUUAGUUUAUUUGAAGUAAUUCAUAUAGAUCUUGAUUUGUUGAUGCUAGUCAUUAAUUAUUAGAUUUCUGGGGAAAGGUUUUUAACCUGAUGUUGUUAACUUUCUCGGGAAAAGAUGCAUAUUAUUUUAUUUUUUUUGACAAGAUAUUAUUUGAAUUCUUGAUGCUAGUUGGAUGCUUGCUUAAAAUUUCUGGGAAAUCUUCGUAGGUUGUACAAAAUCAAUUACUUAAUUUUAUUUUUUUUAAUUUUGGUGUUAGGCAUUAGGCAAUCAUGAUAAUGUAUUAAAAAAAAUAAAUGUAAUUAAAUUUGUACACUUUAACGUGAAGAAGUCAACAUUUUUCUCUUACUUUAUUAACCGUAUUGUUGCCAGUUGUGUUAAUUAUGCAACGAAGACUGUGUGACAUCCCAUCUAUCUCUAAUCUAUCAAAAUCAUCCGUUGUUUGGACUUAUAGUUCAAAAGCCUACAUUAGACUAAUAAAACCUAUAUUAAUUUGAAUUGUAAUCGCAAGCAAUGCAAUUUGGUUGGGAUUUUACUGAAAAGUUACUACCAAUUGGAAUAAAAUUUAAUGAAAAAUGGAUCAUUGACAUUGAGAAUAAUAUUUUUGUAAAUGGUC
Molecule: long non-coding RNA, 1130 nt
Filed under: Medicago truncatula (barrel medic)
Lineage: Eukaryota; Viridiplantae; Streptophyta; Magnoliopsida; Fabales; Fabaceae
Description: lncRNA gene22221
Source: RNAcentral